Molecule: ribosomal RNA, 291 nt
Filed under: uncultured bacterium
Lineage: Bacteria
Description: partial 16S ribosomal RNA
Rfam family: Bacterial small subunit ribosomal RNA
Source: RNAcentral
GUGCCGCCGCCGCGGUAAUACGGAGGGUCCAAGCGUUGUCCGGAAUCACUGGGCGUAAAGGGUGUGCAGGUGGGGCAGCAAGUCAGGGGUGAAAGCCCGCGGCUUAACCGCGGAAGUGCCCUUGAAACUGUUGCUCUUGAGUCCCGGAGAGGCUGCCGGAAUUCGUGGUGUAGCGGUGAAAUGCGUAGAUAUCACGAGGAACACCAGAGGCGAAAGCGGGCAGCUGGACGGGUACUGACACUGAGGCACGAAAGCGUGGGGAGCAAACAGGAUUAGAUACCCGAGUAGUCC